AUUAAGUGAACUAGUUGUAGGGCUUCUCUCCUCUGGCACGAUCAUCACUAAUAGAUUCCAACUUGGUUUCUCUAUUUUUUGAUGAUCCGCCAAAGGAGAGUUGCCCUUUAACUUCUUCAACUUAAU
Molecule: microRNA precursor, 126 nt
Filed under: Manihot esculenta (cassava)
Lineage: Eukaryota; Viridiplantae; Streptophyta; Magnoliopsida; Malpighiales; Euphorbiaceae
Description: precursor microRNA miR399j
Source: RNAcentral